GAUGAACGCUGGCGGCGUGCCUAAUACAUGCAAGUCGAGCGAACGGACGAGAAGCUUGCUUCUCUGAUGUUAGCGGCGGACGGGUGAGUAACACGUGGAUAACCUACCUAUAAGACUGGGAUAACUUCGGGAAACCGGAGCCAAUACCGGAUAAUAUUUUGAACCGCAUGGUUCAAAAGUGAAAGACGGUCUUGCUGUCACUUAUAGAUGGAUCCGCGCUGCAUUAGCUAGUUGGUAAGGUAACGGCUUACCAAGGCAACGAUGCAUAGCCGACCUGAGAGGGUGAUCGGCCACACUGGAACUGAGACACGGUCCAGACUCCUACGGGAGGCAGCAGUAGGGAAUCUUCCGCAAUGGGCGAAAGCCUGACGGAGCAACGCCGCGUGAGUGAUGAAGGUCUUCGGAUCGUAAAACUCUGUUAUUAGGGAAGAACAUAUGUGUAAGUAACUGUGCACAUCUUGACGGUACCUAAUCAGAAAGCCACGGCUAACUACGUGCCAGCAGCCGCGGUAAUACGUAGGUGGCAAGCGUUAUCCGGAAUUAUUGGGCGUAAAGCGCGCGUAGGCGGUUUUUUAGUCUGAUGUGAAAGCCCACGGCUCAACCGUGGAGGGUCAUUGGAAACUGGAAAACUUGAGUGCAGAAGAGGAAAGUGGAAUUCCAUGUGUAGCGGUGAAAUGCGCAGAGAUAUGGAGGAACACCAGUGGCGAAGGCGACUUUCUGGUCUGUAACUGACGCUGAUGUGCGAAAGCGUGGGGAUCAAACAGGAUUAGAUACCCUGGUAGUCCACGCCGUAAACGAUGAGUGCUAAGUGUUAGGGGGUUUCCGCCCCUUAGUGCUGCAGCUAACGCAUUAAGCACUCCGCCUGGGGAGUACGACCGCAAGGUUGAAACUCAAAGGAAUUGACGGGGACCCGCACAAGCGGUGGAGCAUGUGGUUUAAUUCGAAGCAACGCGAAGAACCUUACCAAAUCUUGACAUCCUUUGACAACUCUAGAGAUAGAGCUUUCCCCUUCGGGGGACAAAGUGACAGGUGGUGCAUGGUUGUCGUCAGCUCGUGUCGUGAGAUGUUGGGUUAAGUCCCGCAACGAGCGCAACCCUUAAGCUUAGUUGCCAUCAUUAAGUUGGGCACUCUAAGUUGACUGCCGGUGACAAACCGGAGGAAGGUGGGGAUGACGUCAAAUCAUCAUGCCCCUUAUGAUUUGGGCUACACACGUGCUACAAUGGACAAUACAAAGGGCAGCGAAACCGCGAGGUCAAGCAAAUCCCAUAAAGUUGUUCUCAGUUCGGAUUGUAGUCUGCAACUCGACUACAUGAAGCUGGAAUCGCUAGUAAUCGUAGAUCAGCAUGCUACGGUGAAUACGUUCCCGGGUCU
RNAcentral lists this ribosomal RNA (1371 nucleotides) under uncultured bacterium. Its description in RNAcentral is "bacterial SSU rRNA". It matches the Rfam family "Bacterial small subunit ribosomal RNA", at positions 28 to 1381 of the family's 1533-position model. The record is from RNAcentral.